UGGAGAGGAAACAGACAAGUAAAAGGUAGCUCUGGAACAGACAUUUGCGAUAUCACAGUAGGGGUGAGGCAGAGCAUUACGAAUGCUAUGGAACAUCCCCUCAGAUUGGGAAGUGUGGAGGGCUGACUCUCAGAAAGAGUGGGAUUUAUGUUGAGAACUGAAGAAUGAGUAGGAAAGUUCACUGGGGCAAGAGAAGCUGAACACAAGGUCUAAAGAAACAAAGGAGGAAUGGAAGGAGAAUAUUAUAUGGACUUUUUCGUUGACCUACUUUUUAAGGAAUGUGGAGGAGUGGAAAAUGGAGGUUGUUGAUUCUGCCUUAUGGAUGAAAUAUAGAAAACGUGAGGAAACUGAAGUUCAGAGAGGUGAUUUCCCCAAAUUAUAUACAGUUGUACGGGGCAGAGGAGAAGAAAAGAGUUGAAGAAGGAGCCUUAAAAAAAUGGCUAAAACAUCCACUGGACAAGACUGAAUUCUACUACCUAGUCAGACUGUUUUCAAGAGAUGUGCCAAAAGGUAACAUAGGGAAUAAGAUAAAAAAGCUAGCCUGUUUUUUUCUUGAGCUGGAGAGAAUACCCUUUAAGCAAAUAGUUGACAAGCAAUUAUCUCACAUAUUUUUUUAAAGACCUUGAGGCGUGGACCUUUCUUGGAUAUCAUUUUCUUUUUUUAAAUUCAGUUUUAUUUUAGCAGCAUUUUU
This is a long non-coding RNA of Leopardus geoffroyi (Geoffroy's cat), 691 nucleotides long. RefSeq lists it as uncharacterized. Lineage: Eukaryota; Metazoa; Chordata; Mammalia; Carnivora; Felidae. The transcript has 4 exons. The record is from RefSeq and is a predicted model, not a curated record.